CCAGCAGCCGCGGUAAUUCCAGCUCCAAUAGCGUAUAUUAAAGUUGUUGCAGUUAAAAAGCUCGUAGUUGAAUUUCUGUCUGGGACGUCCGGUCCGCUUCCUCUGGAAGUGUGUACUAAAGGACGUUCGAGGCAUUUUUUGUGAGUCUGCCUUUCUGCCAUUAAGUUGGUGGGUUGGUGGGUUUGCAUCGUUUACUGUGAAAAAAUUAGAGUGUUUAAAGCAGGCGUUGAGUCUCCUAAAUACAUUAGCAUGGAAUAAUAAGAUAUGGCCUUGGUGGUCUAUUUUGUUGGUUUGCACACCAGGGUAAUGAUUAAUAGGGACAGUUGGGGGUAUUCAUAUUUCAG
Molecule: ribosomal RNA, 344 nt
Filed under: uncultured eukaryote
Lineage: Eukaryota
Description: SSU rRNA
Rfam family: Eukaryotic small subunit ribosomal RNA
Source: RNAcentral